CCUACGUGAGGCAGCAGUGAGGAAUAUUGGUCAAUGGGCGCGAGCCUGAACCAGCCAAGUAGCGUGAAGGAUGACUGCCCUACGGGUUGUAAACUUCUUUUAUAAAGGAAUAAAGUGAGGCACGUGUGCCUUUUUGUAUGUACUUUAUGAAUAAGGAUCGGCUAACUCCGUGCCAGCAGCCGCGGUAAUACGGAGGAUCCGAGCGUUAUCCGGAUUUAUUGGGUUUAAAGGGAGCGUAGAUGGGUUGUUAAGUCAGUUGUGAAAGUUUGCGGCUCAACCGUAAAAUUGCAAUUGAUACUGGCAGUCUUGAGUACAGUUGAGGUAGGCGGAAUUCGUGGUGUAGCGGUGAAAUGCUUAGAUAUCACGAAGAACUCCGAUUGCGAAGGCAGCUUACUAAACUGCCACUGACAUUGAUGCUCGAAAGUGUGGGUAUCAAACAGGAUUAGAUAUCCUUGUAGUC
RNAcentral lists this ribosomal RNA (460 nucleotides) under uncultured bacterium. Its description in RNAcentral is "partial 16S ribosomal RNA". It matches the Rfam family "Bacterial small subunit ribosomal RNA", at positions 338 to 795 of the family's 1533-position model. The record is from RNAcentral.